Cucumis melo (muskmelon) is the source of this 650-nucleotide long non-coding RNA. RefSeq lists it as uncharacterized. The record is from RefSeq and is a predicted model, not a curated record. The transcript is spliced from 5 exons. NCBI's taxonomy places the organism in Eukaryota, Viridiplantae, Streptophyta, Magnoliopsida, Cucurbitales, Cucurbitaceae.
CGACCCAUGGGACCUCUCGAUCUUCUCUGUCCUGAGGAAAGUUUGAUUCCUCUUCGGCUAUUAGAGAGUUUUUCAAAGAUGAAACUAAAAUUACAAGUCCCGAAAACAUGAAAAGAUAUUCCAUGGUGGUGAAAGGCUUAGCUUCUGCUCACAGAGGAAUAAAGGGUUAUCCAUGGCGGAAGGCUGGGAUUCUAUACUCUCUUCAGGGACAAAGCCUAAUGUUUUUCAAAUUAGUGCAAAGUGGACUGGUGACCUUGUUGGACACGCCUCGACAGGAUAUCGGAGCAAAACAUGGUUAAACCUUUGCGGGAAAAACAAGGUUCGAUAUCGUUUUCAACUUCUUUAAAAUACCAAAUACUUGUUUUUGUUUAUUUAUGUUUAUCAAAUUUACAACAAUUUUCUAAUUGUGAACUUACCAUUCAACAAUAGAAUUGAAUAUAAUUCUUUUUAUUAGAAUGGCUAGAUUCAUAAAAUCAUAGAGAAAAUAAUUUAGGUGGACAAAUAGCAAAGUUGUUAGCUAUAAUAUAAGUUGGGAUAAUUUGUAACGUGGGUUGAGAAAAAGUGAAAUAAUUGGGAGAUUAUUGGGACCUACAUUCUUUUUGGAAGGUAAAAGAUAUAUGAUAGAGAAAUAUUUUAAGAGAAAAAUAGAA